GAUGAACGCUAGCGGCAGGCCUAACACAUGCAAGUCGAGGGGUAGCAGGAUUAAGCUUGCUUAAUUGCUGACGACCGGCGCACGGGUGCGUAACGCGUAUGCAACCUACCUUAUACUGGGGUAUAGCCCGGAGAAAUUCGGAUUAAUCCCCCAUAGUACUAAUGAAUCGCAUGGUUUAUUAGUUAAAGCAUUGCGGUAUAAGAUGGGCAUGCGUCCUAUUAGCUAGAUGGUGAGGUAACGGCUCACCAUGGCUACGAUAGGUAGGGGGCCUGAGAGGGUGGUCCCCCACACUGGAACUGAGACACGGACCAGACUCCUACGGGAGGCAGCAGUGAGGAAUAUUGGUCAAUGGGCGCAAGCCUGAACCAGCCAUGCCGCGUGCAGGAAGAAUGCCCUAUGGGUUGUAAAUUGCUUUUAUUUGGGAAUAAACCUCUUUACGUGUAGAGAGCUGAAGGUACCAAAUGAAUAAGCACCGGCUAACUCCGUGCCAGCAGCCGCAGUAA
RNAcentral lists this ribosomal RNA (503 nucleotides) under uncultured bacterium. RNAcentral's name for it is "partial 16S ribosomal RNA". It matches the Rfam family "Bacterial small subunit ribosomal RNA", at positions 28 to 523 of the family's 1533-position model. The record is from RNAcentral.